Molecule: ribosomal RNA, 434 nt
Filed under: uncultured bacterium
Lineage: Bacteria
Description: bacterial SSU rRNA
Rfam family: Bacterial small subunit ribosomal RNA
Source: RNAcentral
AACGCGAAGAACCUUACCUAGUCUUGACAUCCACGGAAGUUUUCAGAGAUGAGAAUGUGCCUUCGGGAACCGUGAGACAGGUGCUGCAUGGCUGUCGUCAGCUCGUGUUGUGAAAUGUUGGGUUAAGUCCCGCAACGAGCGCAACCCUUAUCCUUUGUUGCCAGCGGUCCGGCCGGGAACUCAAAGGAGACUGCCAGUGAUAAACUGGAGGAAGGUGGGGAUGACGUCAAGUCAUCAUGGCCCUUACGACCAGGGCUACACACGUGCUACAAUGGCGCAUACAAAGAGAAGCGACCUCGCGAGAGCAAGCGGACCUCAUAAAGUGCGUCGUAGUCCGGAUUGGAGUCUACAACUCGACUCCAUGAAGUCGGAAUCGCUAGUAAUCGUGGAUCAGAAUGCCACGGUGAAUACGUUCCCGGGUCUUGUACACACCG